This 478-nucleotide ribosomal RNA is filed under the name uncultured bacterium. RNAcentral's name for it is "partial 16S ribosomal RNA". It matches the Rfam family "Bacterial small subunit ribosomal RNA", at positions 28 to 507 of the family's 1533-position model. The record is from RNAcentral.
GAUGAACGCUGGCGGCGUGCCUAACACAUGCAAGUCGAACGGAGUCCAGCCUUUAAGACCUUCGGGUCAAAGAGGGGAAGACUGAGUGGCGGACGGGUGAGUAACACGUGGGCAACCUGGCUCAUAGAGGGGGAUAACAGAGAGAAAUUUCUGCUAAUACCGCAUAAGCACACACUGCCGCAUGGCAGAGGGUGAAAAGAGAAUCGCUAUGAGAUGGACCCGCGUCUGAUUAGCCAGUUGGCAGGGUAAGAGCCUACCAAAGCGACGAUCAGUAGCCGAUCUGAGAGGAUGAACGGCCACAUUGGGACUGAGACACGGCCCAAACUCCUACGGGAGGCAGCAAUGGGGGAUAUUGCACAAUGGGGGGAACCCUGAUGCAGCGACGCCGCGUGAGUGAAGAAGUAUUUCGGUAUGUAAAGCUCUAUCAGCAGGGAAGAUAAUGACAGUACCUGAAUAAGAAGCCCCGGCUAACUACGUG